CGCGGUCCAUAUGGUAGAGCUGAUAGAACGCAUAUGUUAUCCCAUUUAGAACACACAUCAACCAAGCAUCCAUCAGAUCAUCGAUCUCAAGUCCAUGGACAAGCACAAGAGUCGCACGCGUGCAGCAGCCUUGCUGCUCCCUCUGCUGUUUCUCGCGUGUUUUCCCCUUUACGCUCAAUGCCGCCUCAUCGAGGGCAUGGACGGCGACAAGAUCAAUAUACCGGGCGGGCUCUGCGUCCAUCAUAAAGACUGCAAACCGGGCAAUUGUUGCUACUGGUGCCUAGUGCUGGAUCUGUGCUAUGCAUCAAUCGACGAGUGCAAGAAAGAGUGCAAAGGCCACGUCGAUGCGCGCCUCUUUAACCUUCCGUCGCCUUCAAAUUGAGUUCCUUGAUCUUGAACCGGCAACCCAUUCGAGCAAGACUAGUGGUCUAAUUUGUUGUAUUCUUUUGAAGCCGCCGGUAGUUGUUCUAAUAAUAAGAAUAUAUAUCUCAACUCGAUUCGUUUCAA
Triticum dicoccoides is the source of this 507-nucleotide long non-coding RNA. RefSeq lists it as uncharacterized. The record is from RefSeq and is a predicted model, not a curated record. The transcript has 2 exons. Lineage: Eukaryota; Viridiplantae; Streptophyta; Magnoliopsida; Poales; Poaceae.